GAGUAUAAUAUAACGAAGUAUAUUAAAGUUCAGCUGAGCGUCUUGCCCUGGACAAGUUUUUCUGGUGCGCGGGACUCUCCGAUGCUACUUACAAGUUGUUUCUUGGAAGUGAGAAGCCUUCUCUUGGCACCAAACUGGGGCUUGGGAAUGCCAGCCAGGCUGGAAGCAAACUUCAGGGAGGAGAUCUCGGGAGAGAGAAAGUGAAAGGGAGGGGACGAGAGACAACGAGGAUGGGGGGGGGAGAGAGAGAAGGCGCACUAAAUGAAACUGGACGCCACUUCGCAUCACUAAUAGCCUUGUAAAUAAAUACCUUUUGGGGAACACACACACACACACACAUUUUAUAUGGGUAUAUAUUUAUAAUGUGUCUACGCACACACACACAAGCACACAUAUACGCGCCCACAUCUGUCUACAUAAACCACCCGUGUCCUGCUGUAAUUGCAGAGGCGUUCUUGCGUGGCCGUGGUCUGAGGUUGCGAAUGGGAGCCAUAAGCACUCAGGCCGCCUUUCUCCCACCCUCCUUCCCCUUUGCCAUUAUCCCGCGGCCUUGAAAUAAAGCCGGGGCCCAGAAACCGACUGUGGAGUUUGUGCGCCUUAAAUAAACAACAGGUCCCUCUUUAAAAUUCUCCAUCCACUCCAGAUGUCUAAAAAAAAAAAAAAAAAAGCAAGAUCGCGAUGAUUUUGUCAGGGUUUGGUAAAUUUACCCCUUUAAGAGGCUUUCAUAAAUCCCAGAACACACCUUCAGCCAGAUUUGAAUAUAGAUUUAGGUUUUAAAACCCAGUCGCAGGGAACACGGCUCUAUCAAAGAGAAUUUCCCCCGUUAGCUUAGCCAUAUUGGCGUCCGUAGGGCUCUUCAGGGGAAAAAGGAGGGGGAGGCAGAAAGAAGGAAGGAAGGAAGGAAGGAAGGAAGGAAGGAAGGAAGGAAGGAAAAGGACGAGGCGGGAAGAAAAAGAAGGAAGGAAAGAGAAAAAGAAUGGACUUGAAAGGAAGAGAAAGGGGAGAAGAGAGAGGGGAAAAAACGGUGGGUGUGUAUCCUAGAGGAAUCGGAACCAACUUUGAUUUUUUUUUUUUUUUUUUUUUUUGGAGGAACGGCCAUUCACACUACCGGGAGUUUUGCAGCGGAAGUGAAAGUUACAGAUUUCUCGCGGAUCGGCAGGGUGAUUUUUUGGGGGGAGGGGGAAGGAUGCGCCUGGAUCCCUUCCCCCGCCCCUGCGCAUUUCUAAUCCCCCCCCCGGUCCACUUGGAAACUCUUUAGAGUCCCAGCUGAAAUCCAAUUUGGAUCUGAAGGAACUGGAAUAGGGUCCAACUUUGGCGUCGCUGCUGUUUUGGGGACGGGAGAGCGCGCCCACCUUCUGUGAAGUUUGGGAUCCUUCAGAGCUUGCUGAAAAACAACCUCCAGCAGAUCCAGGAUGCUGGGAAUUGAGGUCAGAAACAUCUGGAGGAGCUACAGGUUCUCCAAUCUACGUGGUAGUUCUUCAGAUAUCUGAAGCUAACCGGAUCUUUUCCGUUGCAACUGAUCCUGAGGGCUACAGCAAUGGCAUUCCACUUAUGCUCUUGAGGAGCAGAGGCACACCGCAUCCAAAACCCUCCAUGAAUUUGCUUAAAAUUUUAUUAGGCUUAUACUACUGUUUUUCCUGGGUUUCCUAUCUCAAAGAAGCUUUUGGAAAUCAUAAGCAGAAAGGCAUCCAAGGAUCAUGAAAAUGUAUCCCAUAUGAUUUACAGUUAUGCCUCCAAUCCAGAACCUCAUUAAUGCUCCAUGCAUGGAGCUUUUCACAGGGUAACAUGCAAUGGAAUUUGAUAUCAAACCCGGAUAGUACUAAGUAGCCUUGUAAACCCCAACAUAGGCAUCUGAUAUAAACCUUGAGGAUAAAAAAAUGAUGAAGCCUCACACCGGACACAAAACAUAGUAUACAGAAUAAUGGAUUUAAGUGAGAAGAAGUAGAUUCAUCUGAAUGUUGGAGCUAAACCUCCUGACAGAAACAGUUCAACAGUGGAGCCAGCUCUUCGGGAGAAGAUAGUUGCACUGAGCAAAAUGCAGAUUUGAUUUUAACAGAUGUGGAGGAUAGUGAAGAUACCAGCCAAGACAUUUUUGUGGUAAGAGGCUAAUCCUAUCCUACUGUCUCCCGAUAUUGCCUUCUGUAGAGUAUAGUAUUAAGUUGUGAUGAAGCCAUUUGUAUAGAUUUGUGGAAAACAGUAAGCAGCACUAGGGAAGAAGGGAUGAACUUUAUUUACAAAUAAGUAUUCUCCUAUAUUUCACACAAUUGAUUGCUUGGAUUUUUGAAAGUGCUGAUUCAUAUAAAAGCAUUGAAUAUCACACAUUGUUAAGUUUUUCUGUACAAUCAUAUCAUCAAAUACCGGAAAGCAUCACAAAAAGUGGAUGCUUUAUAUCUGUAAAUCCAGAGUAUAUUCACCCUAAAAAAGUGAAUAGUCUUAAGGAUAGUUUUGGAGAGGGAAGACAAGAAAAUUCAACUUCACCUUUUAGCUUUGCAGUUAUAACUACCUAGCUUUGCGUUCAUAUUCUUUUUCCCUUUUUUCAUGUUUGCAACAAAAUAAAACUGAAUGAAAUUGCACUGUCUAUAUAUUGCCUUAUCUGCACCUCAGGCAUUUCUUUAUGUUGAAAUUUCCUCCCCAUGCUAUAAAAUAGAGCUCUGGUUGCUAUGUGAUCUCUGACUAUUAUCACCUAGAGAGUUUCCACUCUGGCACUAAACAUCGAGGAUUGCUUUUAAUACCUUGUUUAUAUCUAAAUGAAUAGCUUGAGCUUUGCAAUAGUUAAAAAUAGGGAUGGACAAAGAAUAAAGAGAGAAUAAAGACAUACCUCACUGUUUCUAGACUAGAACACCAAGCUUCUCCCCAGACCUUGGCCUGCACUUAAGGCAGCCAUGAAGCCAAUUUAACAG
Long non-coding RNA from Crotalus tigris (Tiger rattlesnake), 2900 nucleotides. RefSeq lists it as uncharacterized. The record is from RefSeq and is a predicted model, not a curated record. Lineage: Eukaryota; Metazoa; Chordata; Lepidosauria; Squamata; Viperidae. The transcript is spliced from 8 exons.